CUGUGAACGAGCCAGGACUUUUCCAGUGUGAGUCAGGAGGUCAGAAGCUUGUUGGAAGAAGACAGGACUCGAAGUUGGUUUUGCAGGAGAACAACCUUUAUGGCAGCUGGCCCCAGGCUUCUGGAAUUCAAGACUGCAUUCCAGUGGCCUCAACUCUACAUCUACUUUAGAAGGCUGCUGAAGGAACAAAUGGCUUCAGAAGCAACAGGGCAGGGCUGCUUAGGGCUGUGCAGUCCUAAUUUACCCAGAGGAGACUGGGGGUUUCAGGGGUGGGGGGCAAGGGAGGAGGGUGAGGGUGGUAAGGGGCAGGCCUUACUAACACAGUUCCACUUUUAUCUGCUUUUUUUUUUUUUAAUUUUAGGUUUCAGAGAAAGAUUUGAGAAAUGGCUAUUAGUGCUGAAAACAUUAAAUGAGUUGAAAUCACCAA
Molecule: non-coding RNA, 427 nt
Organism: Odocoileus virginianus texanus
Lineage: Eukaryota; Metazoa; Chordata; Mammalia; Artiodactyla; Cervidae
Source: RefSeq, a predicted model, not a curated record